Molecule: long non-coding RNA, 136 nt
Organism: Gopherus evgoodei (Goodes thornscrub tortoise)
Lineage: Eukaryota; Metazoa; Chordata; Testudines; Testudinidae
Exons: 3
Source: RefSeq, a predicted model, not a curated record
CAAGACUCCAUGCAGCUGGACCGUGCCUGAUUUCACCCCCUGCGCAGGAUUUCCCAUUCCCAAACCUGACCUGAUCGCCUGGCUGGAAGGAUGGGAAGAGCCGUGCGUCCCAGAUCUCCACGUCACGAGGGGAAGA